This is a long non-coding RNA of Helianthus annuus (common sunflower), 309 nucleotides long. RefSeq lists it as uncharacterized. Lineage: Eukaryota; Viridiplantae; Streptophyta; Magnoliopsida; Asterales; Asteraceae. The transcript has 3 exons. The record is from RefSeq and is a predicted model, not a curated record.
GGAUUACUCUCAACCAGCGCCCAUUAGCUAUGCGAAUGAUUCUUACGCUUCAGAAGAUGGCCCAGGAGUUGAGGGUUUGCAGAUAAUGGGGAAUGCAAAACCAGGAGGUAAACUUUUAGCCGUUGGAUAUCCUGUGCGUGGAACCUCACUAUGCAUGUUUCAGACGACGGUUGGGCCAGUUCGGAGGAGUACUUCGAGGGUAUGUCUUUAAAGGCUCUCAACUAUGCCAUAAACUUAUCUGACUGCUAAUUGAUUUCCUUAAAUGCCAUAAAAAUUUCCUUAAUGGAUUUUUUUUUGUGUUUGCAAGGG